CGUUUGCUCAGAAGGGAAUGUUUAUAGAAAUUUGUCUUCAAUCAAGUACUCCUGCAUGUGUGCGCUCUUUGUUGAGGAAAACUCACCAGCUCGCUUGACUUGGAGGGCUGGUGCCCAGGCCUUGACUCAGCCGUCUCCCAUGCGGUGGGGGCCCUAAGGCUCAGGCAGGCUCAGCUCUUCAGGGUCAGAGCAGGCCCCAGGGUGCCUCGAGGUGUUGGAUCUGCUCAUCUAUAUGCCAAGAUUUGUGCAAACACAGGUUUUUUUGCAACCUUGAGUGUCUCCAAUUGUCUGAAGCAGGGCCAAAGAGAUCGGGAGAGAACACGUGAGAAACUUCCAGGGUGUUUGGAGAGUAAAGCACUGGAUGUCCUGGACGUUCUUUGCCUCAGUGAUGAAGACCAGCCUAGUCUGCUGCUACAUUCCUGGUGUCUAUCACAUAGGAAAUCAACAAAUAGGAAGUGAAUGAAAUCAAUGGAUUCUCAUUAAAUUUGUUUUGGACUGCUCUGAAAUUUAAAACCACUGUAGCAACUACACGGGGGCUUUAAGGAAUGGUGGUAGUUUGAAAGGGGACUUAAAUAGAAUGGUUCAGAGCACAUUAAAAAAUGGGUGCAAUGUUAAAAAACUUACGAGACACACUGAGGGCCUCACUAAACUGAUCACAUGGUGACCAAGGACCCACGUGAACUCACUGAUAGGUCGGUGGGUCUCGUGAUGGUGAAGAACCUACCAGCAACCUCAGGUACCACAAGGAGGCUGAGAAGGGCAGAGAGGGGCGCCAGGGGGCCGUUCCCCACUGUGCUCAUCGCUGGGCUGCCAACAGCUGAGCUGCUGAGUGUUUUCUGGAACGUGAAGGUGUGAUGUACAGCCAGCCAUUCCCUUGCAGCCGCACAGACCCACAAAGCAUCAGAAGGUG
Long non-coding RNA from Mesocricetus auratus (golden hamster), 910 nucleotides. RefSeq lists it as uncharacterized. Lineage: Eukaryota; Metazoa; Chordata; Mammalia; Rodentia; Cricetidae. The record is from RefSeq and is a predicted model, not a curated record. The transcript is spliced from 3 exons.